RNAcentral lists this small RNA (2121 nucleotides) under Arabidopsis thaliana (thale cress). RNAcentral describes it as "ATSL036920". The record is from RNAcentral. Lineage: Eukaryota; Viridiplantae; Streptophyta; Magnoliopsida; Brassicales; Brassicaceae.
UAAUUAUUAAACAUUUUGACGAUAGAAACACUAAGAAAGCUAUUUACUGCGUCUAAGAAAAUAUUUGUUGGUUUUAGCCUCUUUUGGGAUAAAAUGGGUAUAAGUGUUGUCUAAACAUUCCUAAUCCAUCUCUAACUCUUAUAAUUAGUCGAAUGCAUUGGAUUGUGAUACCUUUUGACCAUAAAAACACUAACAAAGUUAUUUACAGCUUCUAAGCAAUAUUUUGUUGGUUAUAGCUUCUUUGGGAGAAAAUGGGUAUAAGUGUUUUCUAAACACUCCUAAUCCAUCUCUAACUCUUAUAAUUAGUCAAAUGCAUUGGAUUGUGACACAUUUUGACCAUAGAAACACUAACAAAUCUAUUGACCGCUUCUAAGACAGUUUUGUUGGUUUUAGCCUCUUUUGGGAGGAAAUGGGUUAUAAGUGUUAUCUAAACACUUCUUGUCCAUCCCUAACUCUUAUAAUUAAUCAAUUGCAAAUUUUUGUUGGUUUUAGCCUCUUUUGGGAGAAAAUGGGUAUAAUUGUUGUCUAAACACUCCUAAUCCAUCUCUAACUCUUAUAAUUAGUCGAAUGCAUUGGAUUGUGAUACAUCUUGACCAUAAAAACACUAACAAAGUUAUUUACUGCUUCUAAGCAAUAUUUUGUUGGUUAUAGCUUCUUUUGUGAGUAAAUGGGUAUAAGUGUUGUCUAAACACUCCUAAUCCAUCGCUAGCUCUUAUAAUUAGUCAAAUGCAUUGGAUUGUGACACAUUUUGACCAUAGAAACACUAACAAAUCUAUUGAGUUGUUCUAAGCAAGUUUUGUUGGUUUUAACCUCUUCUAGGAGGAAAUGGGUAUAAGUGUUGUCUAAACACUUCUUAUCCAUCUCUAACUCUUACAAUUAGUCAAUUGCAUUGGAUUGUGACACAUUUUGACCAUAGAAACACUAACAAAACUAUUUACUGCGUCUAAGCAAAUGUUUGUUGGUUAUAGCUUCUUUUGGGAGAAAAUGGGUAUGUGUGUUCUCUAAACACUCCUAAUCCAUCUCUUACUCUUAUAAUUAGUCAAAUGCAUUGGAUUGUGACACAUUUUGACCAUAGAAACACUAACAAAUCUAUUGACCGCUUCUAAGCAAGUUUUGUUGGUUUUAGCCUCUUUUGAGAGGAAAUGGGUUAUAAGUGUUAUCUAAACACUUCUUGUCCAUCCCUAACAAUUAUAAUUAAUCAAUUGCAAAUUUUUGUUGGUUUUAGCCUCUUUUGGGAGAAAAUGGGUAUAAUUGUUGUCUAAACACUCCUAAUCCAUCUCUAACUCUUAUAAUUAGUCGAAUGCAUUGGAUUGUGAUACAUCUUGACCAUAAAAACACUAACAAAGUUAUUUAUUGCUUCUAAGCAAUAUUUUGUUGGUUAUAGCUUCUUUUGUGAGUAAAUGGGUAUAAGUGUUGUCUAAACACUCCUAAUCCAUCGCUAGCUCUUAUAAUUAGUCAAAUGCAUUGGAUUGGGACACAUUUUGACCAUAGAAACACUAACAAAUCUAUUGAGUUGUUCUAAGCAAGUUUUGUUGGUUUUAACCUCUUCUAGGAGGAAAUGGGUAUAAGUGUUGUCUAAACACUCAUAAUCCAUCUCUAACUCUUACAAUUAGUCAAUUGCUUUGGAUUGUGACACAUUUUGACCAUAGAAACACUAACAAAACUAUUUACUGCGUCUAAGCAAAUGUUUGUUGGUUAUAGCUUCUUUUGGGAGAAAAUGGGUAUAAGUGUUCUCUAAACACUCCUAAUCCAUCUCUUACUCUUAUAAUUAGUCAAAUGCAUUGGAUUGUGACACAUUUUGACCACAGAAACACUAACAAAUCUAUUGACCGCUUCUAAGCAAGUUUUGUUGGUUUUAGCCUCUUUUGGGAGGAAAUGGGUUAUAAGUGUUAUCUAAACACUUCUUGUCCAUCCCUAACUCUUAUAAUUAAUCAAUUGCAAAUUUUUGUUGGUUUUAGCCUCUUUUGGAAGAAAAUGGGUAUAAUUGUUGUCUAAACACUCCUAAUCCAUCUCUAACUCUUAUAAUUAGUCGAAUGCAUUGGAUUGUGAUACAUCUUGACCAUAAAAACACUAACAAAGUUAUUUAUUGCUUCUAAGCAAUAUUUUGUUGGUUAUAGCUUU